GUCUAUGGCCACGCCAUCCUGAACAAGCCCGAUGUCUGAUUUGGGAAGCUAAGCGGGGUCGGACCUGGUUAGUACUUAGAUGGGAGGCCACUUAGGAAGACCAGGUGCUGUAGGCA
This 116-nucleotide ribosomal RNA is filed under the name Pteropus alecto (black flying fox). Lineage: Eukaryota; Metazoa; Chordata; Mammalia; Chiroptera; Pteropodidae. The record is from RNAcentral.